UACAGAGGGGGCAAGCGUUAUUCGGAAUUAUUGGGCGUAAAGGGCGCGUAGGCGGCCAGGCAAGUGGAAGGUGAAAUCCCUCGGCUUAACCGAGGAACUGCCCUCCAAACUGCUUGGCUUGAGACCGGGAGAGGUGAGUGGAAUUCCCAGUGUAGCGGUGAAAUGCGUAGAUAUUGGGAGGAACACCAGUGGCGAAGGCGGCUCGCUGGGACGGUACUGACGCUGAGGCGCGAAAGCGUGGGGAGCGAACAGG
Molecule: ribosomal RNA, 253 nt
Filed under: uncultured bacterium
Lineage: Bacteria
Description: partial 16S ribosomal RNA
Rfam family: Bacterial small subunit ribosomal RNA
Source: RNAcentral